This 520-nucleotide long non-coding RNA is filed under the name Homo sapiens (human). RNAcentral describes it as "HSALNT0207844". Lineage: Eukaryota; Metazoa; Chordata; Mammalia; Primates; Hominidae. The record is from RNAcentral.
UGAACGAUACUGGGAAAAUAGGUGUUUGUACGCUGCAGUAAGCGAGGAAGAAACUAGACUGUUCACGUCUCUGGGAGAAAAAUGUUACACUUGGUCCAUACCUCUGUGUUUGUGGGGAACAGAUCUAAUCUAAUCUGCUGAUAGCCAUGACUCCCGGAGUCCUGCGCACUUCUCCACUUGUAGCCUGCCUGGUGGUCCCUUCCUGCGCUCCUGGGGCGAAAACUGGCUCGCAGAUUACUCUGAGGGCAGCCUAGUUCAGAAGCUAUGCAGAUUCACCCCAAGCCGGUGGCUUCUGCUCUGUUUCCAUUCUCACUACCUCCGACUCAGAUCUCACUUCCUACUGCCUCAAGGCUGCUCCCGGGACUCAGUUAACUAUAGACCUGGCUCUCUGGAACUUCUUGAACAGUAAUCUGAGCCCAAAUGCAAAGAAGUCAGGAGUCUCACCAGCCGCUACUCAAUGCACAAAAAUCUACGCUAACGAAUGUCACAGACACUUUCCGAUAGCUCACCUGGUAGAGCG